UAAUACGUAGGGUGCAAGCGUUGUCCGGAAUUAUUGGGCGUAAAGAGCGUGUAGGCGGCCCGAUUAGUCCGCUGUGAAAGUCCAGGGCUCAACCCUGGAAUGCCGGUGGAUACUGUCGGGCUAGAGUCCGGAAGGGGCGAGUGGAAUUCCUGGUGUAGCGGUGAAAUGCGCAGAUAUCAGGAGGAACACCAAUG
This 194-nucleotide ribosomal RNA is filed under the name uncultured bacterium. RNAcentral describes it as "partial 16S ribosomal RNA". It matches the Rfam family "Bacterial small subunit ribosomal RNA", at positions 521 to 714 of the family's 1533-position model. The record is from RNAcentral.